CAGACCUCUAAUCGGAAAAGACUACCCGCUGAGUUUAAGCAUAUCACUAAGCGGAGGAGAAGAAACUAACCAGGAUUUCCCUAUG
This 85-nucleotide ribosomal RNA is filed under the name Sarmentypnum exannulatum. Its description in RNAcentral is "partial 25S ribosomal RNA". It matches the Rfam family "Eukaryotic large subunit ribosomal RNA", at positions 1 to 84 of the family's 3401-position model. The record is from RNAcentral. Lineage: Eukaryota; Viridiplantae; Streptophyta; Bryopsida; Hypnales; Amblystegiaceae.